Unclassified non-coding RNA from Pongo abelii (Sumatran orangutan), 148 nucleotides. It matches the Rfam family "Metazoan signal recognition particle RNA". From Rfam's summary of the family: The signal recognition particle (SRP) is a universally conserved ribonucleoprotein. It is involved in the co-translational targeting of proteins to membranes. Lineage: Eukaryota; Metazoa; Chordata; Mammalia; Primates; Hominidae. The record is from Ensembl.
GCCGGGCGUGGUGGCGUGCACCUGUAAUCCCAGCUACUCAGGAGGCUGAGGCAGGAGGAUCGCUUGAACCUGGGAGGUGAAAGUUGCAGUGAGCCAAGAUUGUGCCACUGCACUCCAGCCUGGGUGACAGAGCGAGACUCUGUCUCAA